Molecule: ribosomal RNA, 653 nt
Filed under: Udeniozyma ferulica
Lineage: Eukaryota; Fungi; Basidiomycota; Microbotryomycetes; Colacogloeaceae
Description: eukaryotic LSU rRNA
Rfam family: 5.8S ribosomal RNA (bases 211-364)
Source: RNAcentral
UCCGUAGGUGAACCUGCGGAAGGAUCAUUAGUGAAUAUCAGGGCGCUCUUUUCUGCGGAAGCGAUCAGAGGCCUGACCUCCACUUAUCCUUAACACUGUGCACUUUUUUAAACCCAAGCGAGUUUGUCAUUCUCGAAGUUCACGCUUCGAGUCUUACUCGCUUUCACCUUAACACUAGUCAAAGAAUGUAAACAAAACAUAACAAAAAAAAACUUUCAACAACGGAUCUCUUGGCUCUCGCAUCGAUGAAGAACGCAGCGAAAUGUGAUAAGUAAUGUGAAUUGCAGAAUUCAGUGAAUCAUCGAAUCUUUGAACGCACCUUGCGCUCUCUGGUAUUCCGGAGAGCAUGCCUGUUUGAGUGUCAUGAACUCUUCAACCCACCGGUUCCUUGUUGAACCGUGUUGGCGCUUGGUUUCUGAACGUUGCUGGUUCCUCGUGAACGCUAGCUCGUUUAAAAUUCAUUAGCAUCUCAAUUUCGAAACGUGGAUUGACUCAGCGUAAUAGACUAUUCGCUGAGGACACUGCUUGCGGUGGCCAUGUUAGAUAACGAUUGAUGCUUAUAGCACUCUAUCUAGUCAUUCUUUCUAAGAUUAGACCUCAGAUCAGGCAGGAUUACCCGCUGAACUUAAGCAUAUCAAUAAGCGGAGGAAAAG